CAGCUUUCCCACCCCACGCUUGGUGCAAAGCAGCAUCAGGACAGCCAGGGUCCCUGGUUCACAUCAUCUGGGUUCUGUGUGUGUGUGUGUGUGUGUGUGUGCUUGUGCUGUGUGUGUUGCUCAGCGAUACAGUAACAAAACUUCCUGUGUGUGUUUGUGC
Molecule: non-coding RNA, 160 nt
Organism: Vicugna pacos (alpaca)
Lineage: Eukaryota; Metazoa; Chordata; Mammalia; Artiodactyla; Camelidae
Source: RefSeq, a predicted model, not a curated record